CUUCUGACAUGAAGUCAGAAAGAGGAUCGUCUACUUCCAGGGUGCGGUUGACCACAGAAAGUGAAACCAUGGAUAAAGGGGGACUACGGCACUACAAAUAAGUUGCAGAGCUACAGUUUCUAGUGACCAGGAUGAAACCCACUGGGACAGCCCUGUCACUUUGGAGCCUGCAGACAGGAUCCUGGGAAAACUAACAGAAGCCAGCAAAAGGCAUCAAAGCUGAACAUGAUGGUCAUGCUGUUCCAUGCAGCCCUGAAAGACAAACAAAAGAACAAACACACCCCAACGACUUACAACCUGGAGCCAAGGGAGCUCUCCAUGUUGCACGAUGCCUCUAUGAUCCUCCCCUUAAAUAUAAAAGCCGCUUUCUUCAGUAACUGAAAACAAUCAUAACUGUC
Neofelis nebulosa (Clouded leopard) is the source of this 398-nucleotide long non-coding RNA. RefSeq lists it as uncharacterized. The record is from RefSeq and is a predicted model, not a curated record. Lineage: Eukaryota; Metazoa; Chordata; Mammalia; Carnivora; Felidae. The transcript is spliced from 3 exons.